Molecule: ribosomal RNA, 445 nt
Filed under: uncultured bacterium
Lineage: Bacteria
Description: bacterial SSU rRNA
Rfam family: Bacterial small subunit ribosomal RNA
Source: RNAcentral
GUAAGGAAUAUUGGACAAUGGACGCAAGUCUGAUCCAGCCAUGCCGCGUGAAGGAUUAAGGUCCUCUGGAUUGUAAACUUCUUUUAUAAGGGACGAAAAAAGGCUUUUCUAAGUCGUCUGACGGUACCUUAUGAAUAAGCACCGGCUAACUCCGUGCCAGCAGCCGCGGUAAUACGGAGGGUGCAAGCGUUAUCCGGAUUCACUGGGUUUAAAGGGUGCGUAGGCGGGCAGGUAAGUCAGUGGUGAAAUCCUAGAGCUUAACUCUAGAACUGCCAUUGAUACUAUCUGUCUUGAAUAUUGUGGAGGUAAGCGGAAUAUGUCAUGUAGCGGUGAAAUGCUUAGAUAUGACAUAGAACACCUAUUGCGAAGGCAGCUUACUACGCAUAUAUUGACGCUGAGGCACGAAAGCGUGGGGAUCAAACAGGAUUAGAUACCCUUGUAGUCC